Molecule: transfer RNA, 64 nt
Filed under: Nesophrosyne sp. 17 GMB-2012
Lineage: Eukaryota; Metazoa; Arthropoda; Insecta; Hemiptera; Cicadellidae
Description: tRNA-His
Source: RNAcentral
AUUUAAGUAGUUUAUAAAAAAUGUAGGGCUGUGGUUCCUAAGAAAUACAAUUUUAUCUUAAGUU